UACGUAGGGUGCGGGCGUUAAUCGGAAUUACUGGGCGUAAAGCGUGCGCAGGCGGUGAUGUAAGACAGGUGUGAAAUCCCCGGGCUUAACCUGGGAACUGCAUUUGUGACUGCAUCGCUGGAGUGCGGCAGAGGGGGAUGGAAUUCCGCGUGUAGCAGUGAAAUGCGUAGAUAUGUGGAGGAACACCGAUGGCGAAGGCAGCCCCCUGGGUUAACACUGACGCUCAUGCACGAAAGCGUGGGGAGCAAACAGG
This 253-nucleotide ribosomal RNA is filed under the name uncultured bacterium. Its description in RNAcentral is "partial 16S ribosomal RNA". It matches the Rfam family "Bacterial small subunit ribosomal RNA", at positions 524 to 776 of the family's 1533-position model. The record is from RNAcentral.